GGUAGACAAAAUAUGGUCCAACACCCUAAACUCCUAUAGGCUCUUAAAACCCAUAUCUUUAUCUGUUUUUAUUCAAGAAAAAUCUAGUAAAGUUAAGAAACGGCGGUUUAUGAAUAUGGCUUCAUGCCUGCAGCUAUGGAAACGCAGCAAGCAACAACUCCUUCCUGAACAAUUCCAGCACGACUAAGGAGCAUCACAUUA
This 201-nucleotide long non-coding RNA is filed under the name Elaeis guineensis (African oil palm). RNAcentral's name for it is "long non-coding RNA (EGUI_LNC021191)". Lineage: Eukaryota; Viridiplantae; Streptophyta; Magnoliopsida; Arecales; Arecaceae. The record is from RNAcentral.